RNAcentral lists this unclassified non-coding RNA (786 nucleotides) under Hevea brasiliensis (rubber tree). Lineage: Eukaryota; Viridiplantae; Streptophyta; Magnoliopsida; Malpighiales; Euphorbiaceae. The record is from RNAcentral.
CCCUUGCUCACAAUGAUGUGGGUUCCAUUCUUCAUAAUUCAUGGAAAAAAUGUUUAUUUGUAAUUGGUGCAUUUUAUAAUUUGCCCGCUUUAUGUAUGUGAGGGUUUGGUUAUUUCAAUAAUUUAAGUAGUUGCUUCCAUUUUUAAAGUUGGGAUGACAUUAUGUCUUCCUUUCUUAUGUUUGCAUAAGUGUUCUAUUUUUGCCUUCCCUUGUUACCCCCUCCCUUGUUUCUCUUAUUUCUUUAUAUUUAACUCACAAGAUUUUCUGAUUGCUUGGAAUUUGUAUCAUUGUUAGCUUGUUUUUUGAGUUUGAUACUGUUAGUAUUGAGUAUAGUGGGAUAGAUUCAAGAGACCUGUGAAAGCUGAAAUAUCUGGAGUUGCUCAAGUCUGUUAAUGUUUCUCGUCUUUUAUUUCUUUGGUAGCUUAGAAUAAAACAGGACAUAUGAAUCUAUGAUAAUUGCUUGUUUUUGGAUUUUGAGAUCAACUGGUCUGGUUGUGUUGUCCUAUGCCUUCCUUCCAAUGGUCAAUCAUAUGUGGAUUUUCUCUCAUGCCUGUUGUUGGAAGAGUUUGGAGUUUGCUAUGCAUAGUCCCUAGUUUCUUGUAGAACUGUUUCAUGGAAACACUGUUUCUAUUUCAUUGUUUAUGGUAAUUUUUGCAAGGUUGAAAGUCCCUAGCUUCUUGUACAACUAUCUCAUGGAACAUUAUUAAUAUUUCAUUGUUUAUGGUAAUUUUUGCAAGGUUGAAAGUCCCUAGCUUCUUGUACAACUAUCUCAUGGAACAUUAUUAA